UAAUCCUUAUCUUUGGCUUGCUCGUUCAUAUCAAAAUAAUGGGUAGCGUGGCCUUGUUCAUCCUGGACAGCAUGUUCUAAAGGAUGGGCAGCAUGUAUCUGUUCUUCAUGGACGAAUCCAUCUUCCUGGACCUGGUCACUUCUUCAACUUCCUGACCUUGCUCUCCCGCUGCAUCAAGUGGUACAUUUAGAUCUAGGUGAGUUUUCAUGGAGGUGUUGAAGAAAUGGCUGUAUAGGAGAUGGUAGGGGAGCUCUAUGCGCUGAAUGUCU
This 269-nucleotide long non-coding RNA is filed under the name Setaria italica (foxtail millet). RNAcentral describes it as "long non-coding RNA (SITA_LNC003692)". The record is from RNAcentral. Lineage: Eukaryota; Viridiplantae; Streptophyta; Magnoliopsida; Poales; Poaceae.